CGAAGCAACGCGAAGAACCUUACCUAAGCUUGACAUCCCAAUGACAUCUCCUUAAUCGGAGAGUUCCCUUCGGGGACAUUGGUGACAGGUGGUGCAUGGUUGUCGUCAGCUCGUGUCGUGAGAUGUUGGGUUAAGUCCCGCAACGAGCGCAACCCUUGUCUUUAGUUGCCAUCAUUAAGUUGGGCACUCUAGAGAGACUGCCAGGGAUAACCUGGAGGAAGGUGGGGAUGACGUCAAAUCAUCAUGCCCCUUAUGCUUAGGGCUACACACGUGCUACAAUGGGUAGUACAGAGGGUUGCCAAGCCGUAAGGUGGAGCUAAUCCCUUAAAGCUACUCUCAGUUCGGAUUGUAGGCUGAAACUCGCCUACAUGAAGCUGGAGUUACUAGUAAUCGCAGAUCAGAAUGCUGCGGUGAAUGCGUUCCCGGGUCUUGUACACACCGCCCGUCACACCACGGGAGUUGGAGACGCCCGAAGCCGAUUAUCUAACCUUUUGGAAGAAGUCGUCGAAGGUGGAAGCAAUAACUGGGGUGAAGGCGUAACAAGGUAGCCGUAUCGGAAGGUGCGGCUGGAUCACCUCCUUUCUAAGGA
Molecule: ribosomal RNA, 589 nt
Filed under: Clostridioides difficile
Lineage: Bacteria; Bacillati; Bacillota; Clostridia; Peptostreptococcales; Peptostreptococcaceae
Description: bacterial SSU rRNA
Rfam family: Bacterial small subunit ribosomal RNA
Source: RNAcentral